GCCCGUACCGUAAACCGACACAGGUGGGUGGGAUGAGUAUUCUAAGGCGCGUGGAAGAACUCUCUUUAAGGAACUCUGCAAAAUAGCACCGUAUCUUCGGUAUAAGGUGUGCCUAGCUUCGUUAAGAAUUUACUUCGUAAGCGAAGAAGGUUACAACAAAGAGUCCCUCCCGACUGUUUACCAUAAACACAGCACUCUGCUAACUCGUAAGAGGAUGUAUAGGGUGUGACGCCUGCCCGGUGCUCGAAGGUUAAUUGAUGAUGUUAGCUUAUGCAAAGCAUCUGAUCGAAGCCCGAGUAAACGGCGGCCGUAACUAUAACGGUCCUAAGGUAGCGAAAUUCCUUGUCGGUUAAAUACCGACCUGCAUGAAUGGCGUAACGAGAUGGGAGCUGUCUCAAAGAGGGAUCCAGUGAAAUUGUAGUGGAGGUGAAAAUUCCUCCUACCCGCGGCAAGACGGAGAGACCCCGUGGACCUUUACUAUAGCUUGACACUGCUACUUGGAUAAAGAUGCGCAGGAUAGGUGGGAGGCUUUGAGUCGUAGAUCUCGGUUUACGAUGAGCCAUUGUUGAGAUACCACUCUUCUUUAUUCGGGUAGCUAACUAGCCUAAGUUAUCCUUAGGUAGGACAAUGUCUGGUGGGUAGUUUGACUGGGGCGGUCGCCUCCCAAAAUGUAACGGAGGCUUACAAAGGUUGGCUCAAAGCGGUUGGAAAUCGCUUGUAGAGUAUAAAGGCAAAAGCCAGCUUAACUGCGAGACAUACACGUCGAGCAGAGACGAAAGUCGGUCUUAGUGAUCCGGUGGUUCUGUGUGGAAGGGCCAUCGCUCAAAGGAUAAAAGGUACCCCGGGGAUAACAGGCUGAUCUCCCCCAAGAGCUCACAUCGACGGGGAGGUUUGGCACCUCGAUGUCGGCUCAUCGCAUCCUGGGGCUGUAGUCGGUCCCAAGGGUUGGGCUGUUCGCCCAUUAAAGCGGUACGCGAGCUGGGUUCAGAACGUCGUGAGACAGUUCGGUCCCUAUCUGCCGUGGGCGUAAGAAGAUUGAGGAGAGUUGACCCUAGUACGAGAGGACCGGGUUGAACCGACCACUGGUGUACCGGUUGUUCUGCCAAGAGCACCGCCGGGUAGCUAAGUCGGGAUGCGAUAAGAGCUGAAAGCAUCUAAGCUCGAAGCCGACUCCAAGAUGAAUCUUCUUUUAAGAGCUCUAGUAGACUACUAGUUUGAUAGGCCGGAUGUGUAAUGGAUGAAAGUCCUUUAGCUGACCGGUACUAAUAGCUCGUUUGCUUAUCUUU
RNAcentral lists this ribosomal RNA (1286 nucleotides) under human oral metagenome. RNAcentral's name for it is "bacterial LSU rRNA". It matches the Rfam family "Bacterial large subunit ribosomal RNA", at positions 1640 to 2925 of the family's 2925-position model. The record is from RNAcentral.